Molecule: long non-coding RNA, 280 nt
Organism: Pelmatolapia mariae (spotted tilapia)
Lineage: Eukaryota; Metazoa; Chordata; Actinopteri; Cichliformes; Cichlidae
Exons: 3
Source: RefSeq, a predicted model, not a curated record
UAUCCACGUGAACGCUGUGAUACGUCUGACCUUCAGUCCGAAGAAGAAACCCAGACCAGUCUUAAAAGAAAGCACAAACCAAAUCCCCUGUACACAUAUACGGACUCAGAGGAUGAGUUUUUUUGUGGGGAAAGCCUACAAAAAAACGGUUUCCCCAGGCCCCUCGAGUGAAAAUACCAGCCCUCAUCACUCCGCAGUCUGCCCCCCAGCCCACUGAUAGCAGCCAUCAUAAUGCCCCACCCAGCUUCCGGCACCUUUCGCCACUCCGGCACAAACCGAC